AGAGUUUGAUCCUGGCUCAGGAUGAACGCUAGCGAUAGGCCUAACACAUGCAAGUCGAGGGGCAGCAUAGAGUAGCAAUACUUUGGUGGCGACCGGCGCACGGGUGAGUAACACGUAUGCAACCUACCUACAUCAGGGGAAUAACCCGGAGAAAUUCGGACUAAUACCGCAUAAUACAGGGAUGCCGCAUGGUAAUAUUUGUUAAAGAUUUAUCGGAUGUAGAUGGGCAUGCGUUCCAUUAGCUAGUUGGUAAGGUAACGGCUUACCAAGGCAACGAUGGAUAGGGGAACUGAGAGGUUUGUCCCCCACACUGGAACUGAGACACGGACCAGACUCCUACGGGAGGCAGCAGUGAGGAAUAUUGGUCAAUGGACGAGAGUCUGAACCAGCCAAAUCGCGUGAAGGAAGACUGCCCUACGGGUUGUAAACUUCUUUUGUACAGGAAUAAAAGACAUUACGUGUAAUGUAUUGCAUGUACUGUACGAAUAAGCAUCGGCUAACUCCGUGCCAGCAGCCGCGGUAAUACGGAGGAUGCGAGCGUUAUCCGGAUUUAUUGGGUUUAAAGGGUGCGCAGGCGGGAUUUUAAGUCAGCGGUGAAAUUUUCAGGCUCAACCUGAACACUGCCGUUGAAACUGGGAUUCUUGAGUAUGGAUGAAGUAGGCGGAAUUCGUUGUGUAGCGGUGACAUGCUUAGAUAUAACGAGGAACUCCGAUUGCGUAGGCAGCUUACUAAGCCAUAACUGACGCUCAAGCACGAAAGCGUGGGGAUCAAACAGGAUUAGAUACCCUGGUAGUCG
RNAcentral lists this ribosomal RNA (796 nucleotides) under uncultured bacterium. RNAcentral's name for it is "bacterial SSU rRNA". It matches the Rfam family "Bacterial small subunit ribosomal RNA", at positions 8 to 796 of the family's 1533-position model. The record is from RNAcentral.